Molecule: ribosomal RNA, 497 nt
Filed under: uncultured bacterium
Lineage: Bacteria
Description: partial 16S ribosomal RNA
Rfam family: Bacterial small subunit ribosomal RNA
Source: RNAcentral
GAUGAACGCUGGCGGCGUGCCUAAUACAUGCAAGUCGAGCGAACAGACGAGGAGCUUGCUCCUCUGACGUUAGCGGCGGACGGGUGAGUAACACGUGGAUAACCUCCCUAUAAGACUGGGAUAACUUCGGGAAACCGGAGCUAAUACCGGAUAAUAUAUUGAACCGCAUGGUUCAAUAGUGAAAGACGGUUUUGCUGUAACUUAUAGAUGGAUCCGCGCCGCAUUAGCUAGUUGGUAAGGUAACGGCUUACCAAGGCAACGAUGCGUAGCCGACCUGAGAGGGUGAUCGGCCACACUGGAACUGAGACACGGUCCAGACUCCUACGGGAGGCAGCAGUAGGGAAUCUUCCGCAAUGGGCGAAAGCCUGACGGAGCAACGCCGCGUGAGUGAUGAAGGUCUUCGGAUCGUAAAACUCUGUUAUUAGGGAAGAACAAAUGUGUAAGUAACUAUGCACGUCUUGACGGUACCUAAUCAGAAAGCCACGGCUAACUACGUG